UCGUAAAGGKKGAUGAGUGGUGUUUGGUUUGUUACGUGUGGUUGGCUGCGGCGUUUGCAACAACUUCCAUGCUUUCAGACCUCUUCAGUUGUGCGGCAAGGCUUGUAUCGCCUUGAGCGUAUUGUGGGUUUUCUGUGUUGGCUACCUAAUCAACGGUAUCGGUUGGAUUGAUCAAAGUUUGAUUUCGUCUUCCGUCGCAUUYGCGGCGUGAGGUGAACCUCGAUGCGGUCUCUUUGAUCCACCUCGUCGAAGCACAUGCUUUGACGUUGUGGCCCAUUGAGCAUUGCUUGGUCUCUUGUAUACGGAACAUAUAGUGGGCAUGGAUCUAACGAUUCUCGUUUGCCCUCAUAUUAGCGUAACGCUUCUCUUACACGACUUGCUCCACGUUUUAGCUCGUACGGACGUGGUGCUAUGUCGAAGAGGAAUGCUACCUGGUUGAUCCUGCCAGUAGUCAUAUGCUUGUCUCAAAGAUUAAGCCAUGCAGGGUGUAAGU
Molecule: unclassified non-coding RNA, 493 nt
Filed under: Artemisia gmelinii
Lineage: Eukaryota; Viridiplantae; Streptophyta; Magnoliopsida; Asterales; Asteraceae
Description: partial external transcribed spacer
Rfam family: Eukaryotic small subunit ribosomal RNA (bases 429-493)
Source: RNAcentral